UGUCCAUACUGCCCGCUGACGUCUGGA
This 27-nucleotide small RNA is filed under the name Bombyx mori (domestic silkworm). Its description in RNAcentral is "piRNA piR-bmo-1835244". Lineage: Eukaryota; Metazoa; Arthropoda; Insecta; Lepidoptera; Bombycidae. The record is from RNAcentral.